CCUACGGGAGGCAGCAGUGAGGAAUAUUGGUCAAUGGGCGAGAGCCUGAACCAGCCAAGUCGCGUGAGGGAAGACUGUCCUAUGGAUUGUAAACCUCUUUUGCCGGGGAGCAAAAAGCGGUACGUGUACCGCAUCGAGAGUACCCGGAGAAAAAGCAUCGGCUAACUCCGUGCCAGCAGCCGCGGUAAUACGGAGGAUGCGAGCGUUAUCCGGAUUUAUUGGGUUUAAAGGGUGCGCAGGCGGACAGUUAAGUCAGCGGUAAAAAUUCGGGGCUCAACCCCCAAAAAGCAGUUGAACCGGGCUGGCUAGAGUGGGCGAGAAGUAUGCGGAAUGCGUGGUGUAGCGGUGAAAUGCAUAGAUAUCACGAAGAACUCCGAUUGCGAAGGCAGCAUACCGGACUCCAACUGACGCUCAGGCACGAAAGUGUGGGUAUCGAACAGGAUUAGAUACCCUGGUAGUC
RNAcentral lists this ribosomal RNA (460 nucleotides) under uncultured bacterium. RNAcentral describes it as "partial 16S ribosomal RNA". It matches the Rfam family "Bacterial small subunit ribosomal RNA", at positions 338 to 795 of the family's 1533-position model. The record is from RNAcentral.